Molecule: ribosomal RNA, 657 nt
Filed under: Chelonoidis duncanensis (Duncan Island giant tortoise)
Lineage: Eukaryota; Metazoa; Chordata; Testudines; Testudinidae
Description: 12S ribosomal RNA
Rfam family: Bacterial small subunit ribosomal RNA
Source: RNAcentral
UCCAAAAAAUUAAGGAGAACUAUGUACUCAGCUGUCAUACGCAAAAGUACACACCCACCCCAAUAUGAAAAUAACCUUAACAUAACAGAACUAUUCGAACUCACGAUCGCUAAGACACAAACUGGGAUUAGAUACCCCACUAUGCUUAGCCCUAAACCCAGAUAUUUAACACACAAAAAUAUCCGCCAGAGAACUACGAGCAUAACGCUUAAAACUCUAAGGACUUGGCGGUGCCUUAAACCCCCCUAGAGGAGCCUGUUCUAUAAUCGAUAAUCCACGAUCCACCUCACCAUCUCUUGCCAGUACCGCCUAUAUACCGCCGUCACUAGCCUACCCUAUGAAGGAUAUAAAAGUAAGCAAAACAGCCAACAAUAGCUAAUAAGUCAGGUCAAGGUGUAGCUAACUGAGAUGGAAGAAAUGGGCUACAUUUUCUAAACUAGAAAUUAUCUCACGGAAAGAACCAUGAAACAAGUUCCACAAGCAGGAUUUAGCAGUAAACAAGGAUUAGAAUGCCCAAUUUAAGCCGGUCCUAAGGCACGCACACACCGCCCGUCACCCUCCUCAAAUCAACAUCACCUAUAAAUAAAACCACAACAAAUAAACAGAUGAGGCAAGUCGUAACAAGGUAAGUAUACCGGAAGGUGUACUUGGAACAUU